Molecule: ribosomal RNA, 764 nt
Filed under: uncultured Streptococcus sp.
Lineage: Bacteria; Bacillati; Bacillota; Bacilli; Lactobacillales; Streptococcaceae
Description: bacterial SSU rRNA
Rfam family: Bacterial small subunit ribosomal RNA
Source: RNAcentral
GACGAACGCUGGCGGCGUGCCUAUACAUGCAAGUAGAACGCUGAAGAGAGGAGCUUGCUCUUCUUGGAUGAGUUGCGAACGGGUGAGUAACGCGUAGGUAACCUGCCUUGUAGUGGGGGAUAACUAUUGGAAACGAUAGCUAAUACCGCAUAACAAUGGAUGACACAUGUCAUUUAUUUGAAAGGGGCAAUUGCUCCACUACAAGAUGGACCUGCGUUGUAUUAGCUAGUAGGUGAGGUAACGGCUCACCUAGGCGACGAUACAUAGCCGACCUGAGAGGGUGAUCGGCCACACUGGGACUGAGACACGGCCCAGACUCCUACGGGAGGCAGCAGUAGGGAAUCUUCGGCAAUGGGGGCAACCCUGACCGAGCAACGCCGCGUGAGUGAAGAAGGUUUUCGGAUCGUAAAGCUCUGUUGUAAGUCAAGAACGAGUGUGAGAGUGGAAAGUUCACACUGUGACGGUAGCUUACCAGAAAGGGACGGCUAACUACGUGCCAGCAGCCGCGGUAAUACGUAGGUCCCGAGCGUUGUCCGGAUUUAUUGGGCGUAAAGCGAGCGCAGGCGGUUUGAUAAGUCUGAAGUUAAAGGCUGUGGCUCAACCAUAGUUCGCUUUGGAAACUGUCAAACUUGAGUGCAGAAGGGGAGAGUGGAAUUCCAUGUGUAGCGGUGAAAUGCGUAGAUAUAUGGAGGAACACCGGUGGCGAAAGCGGCUCUCUGGUCUGUAACUGACGCUGAGGCUCGAAAGCGUGGGGAGCGAACAGG